RNAcentral lists this ribosomal RNA (337 nucleotides) under uncultured Mycobacterium sp. RNAcentral describes it as "bacterial SSU rRNA". It matches the Rfam family "Bacterial small subunit ribosomal RNA", at positions 20 to 359 of the family's 1533-position model. Lineage: Bacteria; Bacillati; Actinomycetota; Actinomycetes; Mycobacteriales; Mycobacteriaceae. The record is from RNAcentral.
UGGCUCAGGACGAACGCUGGCGGCGUGCUUAACACAUGCAAGUCGAACGGAAAGGUCUCUUCGGAGAUACUCGAGUGGCGAACGGGUGAGUAACACGUGGGUAAUCUGCCCUGCACUUCGGGAUAAGCCUGGGAAACUGGGUCUAAUACCGAAUAGGACCACUUGGCGCAUGCCUUGUGGUGGAAAGCUUUUGCGGUGUGGGAUGGGCCCGCGGCCUAUCAGCUUGUUGGUGGGGUGAUGGCCUACCAAGGCGACGACGGGUAGCCGGCCUGAGAGGGUGUCCGGCCACACUGGGACUGAGAUACGGCCCAGACUCCUACGGGAGGCAGCAGAAGGG